GGAAGUAAAAGUCGCAACAAGGUCUCCGCUGGUGAACCAGCGGAGGGAUCAUUACUAGAGAGUUGCAAAACUCCUACACCCCUGUGAACCUACCUCUAUUUUCCUUCGGCAGGCAGCCCCAGGGCGGGGCCGUGGUCUGCUACAGCGCAGGCGCCUGCCGGAGACCCCUCAAACUCUUGUUUUACAGGUUGUCUGAGUCUUUAUAAAAUGAAUCAAAACUUUCAACAACGGAUCUCUUGGUUCUG
RNAcentral lists this unclassified non-coding RNA (245 nucleotides) under plant metagenome. RNAcentral describes it as "partial contains small subunit ribosomal RNA, internal transcribed spacer 1, and 5.8S ribosomal RNA". The stretch from base 1 to 54 matches the Rfam family "Eukaryotic small subunit ribosomal RNA", at positions 1778 to 1831 of the family's 1831-position model. The record is from RNAcentral.